Molecule: ribosomal RNA, 562 nt
Filed under: Trichoderma harzianum
Lineage: Eukaryota; Fungi; Ascomycota; Sordariomycetes; Hypocreales; Hypocreaceae
Description: eukaryotic LSU rRNA
Rfam family: 5.8S ribosomal RNA (bases 185-338)
Source: RNAcentral
CCAACCCAAUGUGAACGUUACCAAACUGUUGCCUCGGCGGGAUCUCUGCCCCGGGUGCGUCGCAGCCCCGGACCAAGGCGCCCGCCGGAGGACCAACCAAAACUCUUUUUGUAUACCCCCUCGCGGGUUUUUUAUAAUCUGAGCCUUCUCGGCGCCUCUCGUAGGCGUUUCGAAAAUGAAUCAAAACUUUCAACAACGGAUCUCUUGGUUCUGGCAUCGAUGAAGAACGCAGCGAAAUGCGAUAAGUAAUGUGAAUUGCAGAAUUCAGUGAAUCAUCGAAUCUUUGAACGCACAUUGCGCCCGCCAGUAUUCUGGCGGGCAUGCCUGUCCGAGCGUCAUUUCAACCCUCGAACCCCUCCGGGGGGUCGGCGUUGGGGAUCGGCCCUGCCUCUUGGCGGUGGCCGUCUCCGAAAUACAGUGGCGGUCUCGCCGCAGCCUCUCCUGCGCAGUAGUUUGCACACUCGCAUCGGGAGCGCGGCGCGUCCACAGCCGUUAAACACCCAACUUCUGAAAUGUUGACCUCGGAUCAGGUAGGAAUACCCGCUGAACUUAAGCAUAUCAA